GGAUUAUUGGGCGUAAGGGCUCGCAGGCGGUUUCUUAAGUCUGAUGUGAAAGCCCCCGGCUCAACCGGGGAGGGUCAUUGGAAACUGGGGAACUUGAGUGCAGAAGAGGAGAGUGGAAUUCCACGUGUAGCGGUGAAAUGCGUAGAGAUGUGGAGGAACACCAGUGGCGAAGGCGACUCUCUGGUCUGUAACUGACGCUGAGGAGCGAAAGCGUGGGGAGCGAACAGGAUUAGAUACCCUGGUAGUCCACGCCGUAAACGAUGAGUGCUAAGUGUUAGGGGGUUUCCGCCCCUUAGUGCUGCAGCUAACGCAUUAAGCACUCCGCCUGGGGAGUACGGUCGCAAGACUGAAACUCAAAGGAAUUGACGGGGGCCCGCACAAGCGGUGGAGCAUGUGGUUUAAUUCGAAGCAACGCGAAGAACCUUACCAGGUCUUGACAUCCUCUGACGAUCCUAGAGAUAGGACGUCCCCUUCGGGGGCAGAGUGACAGGUGGUGCAUGGUUGUCGUCAGCUCGUGUCGUGAGAUGUUGGGUUAAGUCCCGCAACGAGCGCAACCCUUGAUCUUAGUUGCCAGCAUUCAGUUGGGCACUCUAAGGUGACUGCCGGUGACACACCGGAGGAAGGUGGGGAUGACGUCUAAUCAUCAUGCCCCUUAUGACCUGGGCUACACACGUGCUACAAUG
This 683-nucleotide ribosomal RNA is filed under the name Bacillus subtilis. Its description in RNAcentral is "bacterial SSU rRNA". It matches the Rfam family "Bacterial small subunit ribosomal RNA", at positions 547 to 1232 of the family's 1533-position model. The record is from RNAcentral. Lineage: Bacteria; Bacillati; Bacillota; Bacilli; Caryophanales; Bacillaceae.